UCGAAGUUGCUGGCAUACCUAUUCAUUUCUAUCAACGACCAUGGUCAAUAGCUUAUAUCAUUCAACAAUCAUCGAACUCAAACACUCGAGUCAUUGCCGGCGGUUAACACCUUCGACGCGCUUGCCGUUUCAACGCUCCGUGUUUGGUAUUGAUCUGUUUCUUUACUUCAUUCGCCGUCCGUACGCUCGUUUGGUUCUUUCGAUUGCCGGACAUUCGGUAUAACUUACUUCCCAGCUCUCACCCACUUUACGGACGUUGACGACUCCCGAGAGCAGCUGUACGCACAACGAGAACGUCCGCCGACGGCCAUGGCUUUCAAUUUCCCGGCGUGCACCUACAUCGUGGCCAUGAUAACCGACGCUUUUCUGUUGUUUUUCUCUGUGUUUCACGUGAUUGCGUUUGAUGAACUGAAAAAUGACAGCAAGAAUCCUAUAGAUCAAUGCAACAGCUUAAAUCCAUUAGUGAUUCCAGAAUAUAUUUUACAUUUCUUCUCCAAUUUGCUGUUUUUGUUUGGAGGCCAGUGGUUAUCCAUUGCUAUAAAUGUUCCAUUAAUGGCUUAUCAUAUUUCAAAGUAUCGAAAUAGACCAGCUAUGUCUGGCUUUGGUCUCUAUGAUCCAACAAGUAUUAUGAAUGCCGAUAAACUAAAUAAAUAUCAACGUGAAGGUUGGAUAAAAUUGGCAUUUUAUUUGUUCUCAUUUUUUUACUACUUAUAUGGAAUGAUAAGAGCAUUAAUCACAGUUUAAAUCUAAGAUGCUCGGAAGUCUGAACAUUCAUCUUGUACAACUAUAAUAGAUUAAAAGUUAAAUAUAACUAUGGGCAGGUGGAACAAUAAUCACCAGAUUGAAUAGCCCCAACAUUUUUAAUUAUUUCAGUAAAUAUGUAUGUUUCUGGCAAUCUGGAAUAUUGGAACUGUGCAUAAAAUAAUUAACAAUUAAGUUAACUGUGUUAAAAAAAUUAUAAAUGAUACUUUUAUUUAA
RNAcentral lists this unclassified non-coding RNA (978 nucleotides) under Acyrthosiphon pisum (pea aphid). RNAcentral describes it as "protein cornichon homolog". The record is from RNAcentral. Lineage: Eukaryota; Metazoa; Arthropoda; Insecta; Hemiptera; Aphididae.